CGUGACCACUGAAUCAAAGAGUUGUUUGAACAGCUGCAUUCCUUCACACCCCUUCACCCCUCUCUCUCUCUCUCUCUCUCUCUCUCUCUCUCUCUGUCUCUCUCUCUCCCACAAUGUCCCUCCAUCCCUCUCGGAGGGCAGGAGUGCGGUAAGUCCUCCUUUCACUGUGGACAGGUGCCUAUUACAGGUCGAGCAUAAAGAUGAGAGACGCAGGAACUCUGAGGCUUCACAGCAGCGACUGCGGCUGAUUUACGGACCCGCGACAGCCCCGAACAUUAAAGAGGAAGCAGCUGCAGGUUCUCUUUACACCUUUGUACGGAUGCACAACAAAGAUGAGCAGAUGCAGACACACACACACACACACACACACACACACACACACACACACACACACACACACACACACACACACACAUACACACACACACACACACACACACACAAACAAACACACAGUCAUCAUAUCAUUUUGACCUUUUGUUGUGAUCUUGCAGCAUCUUGGACACAAAUCAGUAGGCUGUGAAGGAAUUUGUAGUAACAAAAACAAACGUUUUUCAAAUGCACAGUUCACAAAUGAACUGUGCAUUUGAGAGAAAAGAGAAAAGUUCUUUAAGGUUAUCUGCUGACAUCUCAAUCAACGAAUGUACAUGUAUUGUGCACUUUGUGAGUAUGUGUUUAUUACCCAGUUUGAGAAUGAAAGAAAUAAUAGAAAAAAACUCACAUCUAAAGCUCUUUAGCUCACUGUAUCUACCUGCCCUCCGUCCUCUCUUCGCCUUUAUCUCCCUCCUUCAAUGUUACACAUUUCAACCAAGCACGCAGAUGUUACAGCCCUAAAGUUGAUAUAAACCAGAGAAUAAACUGGUAAAUGAAUGCGUGUGUCCGCUAGGGGGAGCGUGAGCAUGGUCCCGUUAAAUUCAUGGGUCCUGAUUACACAAGUGGACUUCUUGGAAGAUCUGGCCCAAAUGGAUAUUUUAAGACACCUUAAAUGUAGCCAAAAUGCAUCUGCAUCGUGAUUCACUGUCGAGAACGAGCCCGUUUAAAGGCUACAACAGUUCUACUGUUCUGGCUCCGACAGGGUCCCACAUCUGAGGCUUCUCAUCGCGGUGAGUCGAUGAGGUCUGUUUAUCUCGUUCAUCUUCACGAGAAGAUGGAGCUCUGUGCUCUCCGCGUCCGUGAUGGGAUGAAUCGCACCAGCGAAGCGCCGUUUCACAUGCAAAUGCCUCCGGUUUGUCAGGCAUUAAGUACCAGGGCGCGAUAAUCUAUCCACGGGAUCUCCACUGGCACCCUCGAUGGCCCGCGGGCCUCCUGUGGGUCGUGACAGCAGGAGAGCGCAGGGCCUUCAGGGGUAAAGGAUAUGAUUUUCCAGGCUAUUCAUGAAAAUAACCUUUACAUGUAAGUCUUAAUGGUCACACCAUGUUUAUUGACAUGAACGAGGUGGAUGGAGUUUUGCUCUGUGUGUGUGUGUGUGUGUGUGUGUGUGUGUGUGUGUGUGUGUGUGUGUGUGUGUGUGUGUGUGUGUGUGUGUGUGUGUGCGUGUGUGUGUGUGUGACAGACAGACAGAGCGUGUGUUUGGGAGAAGUUUGGCUUUUAAAGUCCACACCACCAGGCUCAUCUUCAUCAGCCGCACUGGCCUGGACUUUAUUUCUUGUAUUUUCACUCUUUACCUUCACAGCUCCCGGUGCAAUGACACCGCCGUUUCACUCCGACCCGAAACCUUCCAGCUUUUGAAUUAAAACUCGCGCAAACAUCUUUUGUUUGUUUGUUUUUUUGUUUGUUGUUGCAAAACAUUGCGCUAAAAAAACUCCGGAGUGCGCAGAGUGCGCAGAGUGCGCCAGUGAGAAGGUAAUGCGACCCCCUGCGUAAACUCCGGUGACCACCUCUCUCUCUCUCUCUCUCUCUCUCUCUCUCUCUCUCUCUCUCUCUCUCUCUCUCUCUCUCUCU
Molecule: long non-coding RNA, 1941 nt
Organism: Gasterosteus aculeatus aculeatus (three-spined stickleback)
Lineage: Eukaryota; Metazoa; Chordata; Actinopteri; Perciformes; Gasterosteidae
Source: Ensembl